RNAcentral lists this ribosomal RNA (969 nucleotides) under uncultured bacterium. RNAcentral describes it as "bacterial SSU rRNA". It matches the Rfam family "Bacterial small subunit ribosomal RNA", at positions 483 to 1452 of the family's 1533-position model. The record is from RNAcentral.
CCAGAAAGGGACGGCUAANUACGUGCCAGCAGCCGCGGUAAUACGUAGGUCCCGAGCGUUGUCCGGAUUUAUUGGGCGUAAAGCGAGCGCAGGCGGUUAGAUAAGUNUGAAGUUAAAGGCUGUGGCUUAACCAUAGUACGCUUUGGAAACUGUUUAACUNGAGUGCAGAAGGGGAGAGUGGAAUUCCAUGUGUAGCGGUGAAAUGCGUAGAUAUAUGGAGGAACACCGGUGGCGAAAGCGGCUCUCUGGUCUGUAACUGACGCUGAGGCUCGAAAGCGUGGGGAGCGAACAGGAUUAGAUACCCUGGUAGUCCACGCCGUAAACGAUGAGUGCUAGGUGUUAGGCCCUUUCCGGGGCUUAGUGCCGCAGCUAACGCAUUAAGCACUCCGCCUGGGGAGUACGACCGCAAGGUUGAAACUCAAAGGAAUUGACGGGGGCCCGCACAAGCGGUGGAGCAUGUGGUUUAAUUCGAAGCAACGCGAAGAACCUUACCAGGUCUUGACAUCCCGAUGCCCGCUCUAGAGAUAGAGUUUUACUUCGGUACAUCGGUGACAGGUGGUGCAUGGUUGUCGUCAGCUCGUGUCGUGAGAUGUUGGGUUAAGUCCCGCAACGAGCGCAACCCUUAUUGUUAGUUGCCAUCAUUCAGUUGGGCACUCUAGCGAGACUGCCGGUAAUAAACCGGAGGAAGGUGGGGAUGACGUCAAAUCAUCAUGCCCCUUAUGACCUGGGCUACACACGUGCUACAAUGGCUGGUACAACGAGUCGCAAGUCGGUGACGGCAAGCUAAUCUCUUAAAGCCAGUCUCAGUUCGGAUUGUAGGCUGCAACUCGCCUACAUGAAGUCGGAAUUGCUAGUAAUCGCGGAUCAGCACGCCGCGGUGAAUACGUUCCCGGGCCUUGUACACACCGCCCGUCACACCACGAGAGUUUGUAACACCCGAAGUCGGUGAGGUAACCUUUUAGGAGCCAG